GAACUUAGGGGAGCACUAUUUGUACCAUACUUGACCAAUCCCAAAACUACUGAGCACCGGUCAACGUUAAACCGUCAAGGACCCAGAAGAGUUUCCCUCCAACCAGGAGGCCAAUCACAACGCGACACGUGUCGACAUCAGAAGCCAAUCAUAGCACGACACGUGUCAAUAUCAGAAGCCAAUCACAACACGACACGUGUCAAUGUCAGAAUGAAACUAGAAACUCUCUUCUAUAAAUAGAGAUCAUUCUCUCACAAUAUUUCCUAAUGUCAUUUGUACUAAAUCAUUUACUAGUACUCACAAAAGGAGAGCUUGAACCUAUGUACUUGUGUAAA
Molecule: long non-coding RNA, 335 nt
Filed under: Malus domestica (apple)
Lineage: Eukaryota; Viridiplantae; Streptophyta; Magnoliopsida; Rosales; Rosaceae
Description: long non-coding RNA (MDOM_LNC010102)
Source: RNAcentral